RNAcentral lists this ribosomal RNA (254 nucleotides) under uncultured bacterium. RNAcentral describes it as "partial 16S ribosomal RNA". It matches the Rfam family "Bacterial small subunit ribosomal RNA", at positions 524 to 776 of the family's 1533-position model. The record is from RNAcentral.
UACGUAGGGUGCGAGCGUUGUCCGGAAUUAUUGGGCGUAAAGAGCUCGUAGGCGGCUUAGUAAGUCGGAUGUGAAAACUCGGGGCUCAACCCCGAGACGCCAUCCGAUACUGCUGUGGCUUGAGUCUGGUAGGGGAGUGUGGAAUUCCCGGUGUAGCGGUGAAAUACGCAGAUAUCGGGAGGAACACCUGUGGCGAAAGCGGCGCACUGGACCACAACUGACGCUGAGGCGCGAAAGCUAGGGGAGCAAACAGG